RNAcentral lists this long non-coding RNA (348 nucleotides) under Manihot esculenta (cassava). RNAcentral describes it as "long non-coding RNA (MESC_LNC004479)". Lineage: Eukaryota; Viridiplantae; Streptophyta; Magnoliopsida; Malpighiales; Euphorbiaceae. The record is from RNAcentral.
AGUGAUCCUCAAAGUUCAGAUCUGAGUGUGCCAUAGCCAUACAAGACAAUUGCUGGUCCCAUAAUUCUGGUUUCAGUGUGAAUAGAACAGCUAGUACGGGCCUUUGAUGAUAUUAGAUGGUCCACAUUUAGUUUUCGCUAUGAUGAGUUCAUUUGAAAUUUCAGUUUACCAUGUUGAUUUUGACAGUUUCUGGAAAAUCUGGUGUUUGCCUCUAAGAGAUAUGAGAAUGGAUUUAUCUGGGAAAUGCCUAUUCUCUAAAUUCCUGGUUCAUUUUUGUUUUGAUAUACCAAUUGGGAAAAAGAAAAUCAUCAAUGCUCAAUUUUACCUGUAUUUAUUGAGGAUGUUCCA